Molecule: unclassified non-coding RNA, 461 nt
Filed under: Saitozyma podzolica
Lineage: Eukaryota; Fungi; Basidiomycota; Tremellomycetes; Tremellales; Trimorphomycetaceae
Description: sequence contains 5.8S rRNA gene and ITS2
Rfam family: 5.8S ribosomal RNA (bases 84-237)
Source: RNAcentral
UAUUCCAAACCUCUGUGAACCGUGCCCUUCGGGGCUAUUUUACAAACAUGGUGUAAUGAACGUCAUAUAUCAUAACAAAACAAAACUUUCAACAACGGAUCUCUUGGCUCUCGCAUCGAUGAAGAACGCAGCGAAAUGCGAUAAGUAAUGUGAAUUGCAGAAUUCAGUGAAUCAUCGAAUCUUUGAACGCACCUUGCGCCCUCUGGUAUUCCGGAGGGCAUGCCUGUUUGAGUGUCAUGUAGACUCAAUCCCUCGGGUUUCCGAGGAGAUUGGACUUGGGUGUUGCCGCUCUGCCGGCUCGCCUUAAAAGACUUAGCGGGAUAGCACCGUAGUCGGCGUAAUAAGUUUCGUCGGUGAAGGUUGUGAUGACUGCUUACAAUCGCCCUCGGGCAAUUUUUGACUCUGACCUCAAAUCAGGUAGGACUACCCGCUGAACUUAAGCAUAUCAAUAAGCGGAGGAA